Molecule: long non-coding RNA, 2142 nt
Filed under: Podarcis muralis (Common wall lizard)
Lineage: Eukaryota; Metazoa; Chordata; Lepidosauria; Squamata; Lacertidae
Description: lncRNA (ENSPMRG00000002353.1)
Source: RNAcentral
GGAAAACAUCAGCUUUGAACUCAAAUUAUAUGUUGAGUUGGCAUGCGUCUGCAUCGGGAGACAAUGGAAGGGUGCGCCUUUGGGGGUGAGGUCAAACUAUUGGCUGGUUGCAGCACCUGCUGUGGCUAUAGAGACUGAUGUGGGGGAGACAUGUUUCGUUGCAGCUGGGGCAGAUGAAGGCACCUGGUUGUGCUGGUGCAGAUGAACCAUGGCAUUUCUUCUCCCAGAGGUCAUUCCUCCUCUGGUCACUGCUACGGAUACACAACUUGACUUCCUGUUGCCAGGCACUACGGUCGUCUGCAAGGGACUUCCACAUGGCAAGGGUCAUGUUGCCAGCCUUCAUGUCAUGUUUGCAGACAUCUCAGGGUUACAGGUUUGUUCACUUGAUUACUUCCCGGGAGAAACGUGGUUCUUUUGCACGUAUCGCUGAGGAUCAUCACUGAGAGUGAUGCAGGGAGCUUUGCAGCCUCUCAUCCGCCACUAAGACUUGCAGGUUAGUUUCUUUUGCUUUCUCGAUGGGAGAACGUAGCAAUCGUGGAAAGAGCUAGCACAACAGAUUCAUAAAACCCACUGAAGACGGACAGCAACAGUUAUGAGCAUGGUGCUGAUAAUACACCAUAUAACACCGGUCCUGAAAGAUCUACAUUGGCUCCCAGUACGUUUCCAACAACUAGGUUUUAGAUACUGGCAGGUGAGUGUCAGAGGCAAGGAAAAGGACAUUGUGCCAUCUUAAGUCAAUGUAGGCCAUGAGGCAACUUACCUGUCAAACAUAGUAACAAAAUGCUCCAGAUCUAAGCCUCUGCAUGUCAGGAUAGAAAACAAAUCAAUCCACAGAAAUACCAUCUAAUGGAUAGCAUUGCUCAACAGCAGGAAGGCUCUAAAUAUGAGAUGGUUGGGACUGGGACUCUAGAAAGCCGCCUUAUACUUGGCCAGUCUAUCUGCAAAUCCUCAGGCCAGAAUGAUCUACUCCAGGGAUGAGAAACCUAUGGGCAUCCGGCUGUUGCUGAACUACAGCUCCCAUUGUCCCAGACUAUUGGUAGUUUGGGGCGAUGAAAGUUGUAGUUCAAAAACCUCUGGAGGACCACAGGUUCCUGAUCACUGGCUUCCUCUGGCUCUCCAGGAUCUUGGACUGGUAUUCGCCAUCACCCAUUAACUCAUCCCUUUUAGUUGCAGAUGCCAGGGACUGAGCCUGGGACCUUCUGCAUGCAGCACACGUAUCAUUGAAAUACAGUCCUUCUAAACAGAGAUGGCAUGAACAUGUUCCCAUGAUUCAGUUGCCUGAAAGGCUCCUGCUGCUCACAUCUUCCUGUUAUAGAACUAAAGAUUCAUACUUACACAUGGGGAAGGUCUUUCACCUGAUGAUGUUGCUUAUGUCCAUAGAAGAGGCCCAUAGAAGCAAUGCUUCCUUGGCAGAAUCUCACUACACUUAAAAAGUUACAGAACAACAGAAGCAGAUUAUUUAGGACAGGGGUGGCUAACCUGGUGUCCCCCAGGUUAGUUGUUGCUGGACUACAAUUCCCAUCAUCCUUGACCAUCAGCCAGGCUGGUCGGGGCUCAUGGGAAUUGGAGAGUGCAACUUAAAUUGUGUAACUAAUGUCUCAGUGACUGGAUAAGGUGACCUGCCAAAAUAUCUCCCUCAAACAGGCCAAGAGUCCACACGAAUCAGAUGUGAAAAUUGUAAUGAAAAUCUGCCUUGCCCGGGCAUUUCCCUUCAAGAUAGCCGAUUUCUCUACUUCUCCAUCAUGUCCAAGUGGAGAGGUCACAUCUCCCCUCAAAUAAACAAACUGAGGAAAGCUUGCCUUCUAGCUAGGAAGCUGGAGAACUUUGACAGUAGUUAACAUUUUGACAGUUUCCCCUCUCCCAAAGUAUUAAGCUCACUUCCCUGAAGCUUUUUCUCUUUGCACCUGGCUGACCCAGAGGCCUGUCCCUCAAAGUGAUCUUCACACAAAAGAUUAUGGAUAUUGAAAUGUUCCCUGUAUUCCUUUGUCCCUUAUCCUACAACCAACUCCGAGGCAGCCAAUGUUAGAGAUAACCAUAAGAGUAACUUUAGAUUGCCUUGUAUACGGUUACAGAGGCCAACAUUCUGGCCUGGUGGGGGGUUUGCCCUGCCGGACUUAAAAUUGUAUUAUGAGGCAGCAGCUU